UGGCUUGGGUCUGAGUGUCCAUAAUGUGUCUAAAAAGCAGCUGCCGGGGGGUGUUAGUGCUUCUCGGUUUCAAAGAGCGGCUCUGCUCCUGGCCCUGCUGUCACAGCCACCAGCCACCCCCAGCAAGGGCUUCGGAUCAGGACCUCACCGAGGGCGCUACUCUCUCCCUCUCGGUGACUGCCCACAGGAGGCUUUCCACCUGCCCAGGGCUCACAGCGCAGUGUCUCCAUUCUCGGGUGACCGUGCCACAGAGGCAGUGCAGGUCUGAAGUCCAGGAUCCAAACCCUACCCAGGUCCCACUUCUGAGGCGCCUGGCCACGUGCUUGUCGUGGGCCACCCUGGCCAGAGUCUCAGUGCCAGUAAGGUAGAAACGAUACCAGCCACCCCGGAGAAAGAGCCAACAAACGCAGGCUGGACAGCAAAACCUGGGGGGAAAUCUUUGAGCUUGUUCACGAGGUGCAGCCCAGGUAAAGCGUAGGAAGCACAAGCAGAGUGCCGCGGUCUAAACGAAGCGUGUUUCUCUCCAUGGACUAGAGCGUGGAAGUGCACACACAUUUCCCACGUUCAGAGAGUGACCUGGAAACAGGUCUUAAGAACAAGGUGGAAAUUUAGCUGCUGCCAUUAAACAUGGGGUAAACUGUGCUUUCCAGGUAAUGCGGAACGCACGUGCCUGCGUUCAGACUCCGUUUAUCUUCACCGUCCUUCAAAAUGGAUGAGCUAAACCCACGCACACGCGUGGACGGGCUGCACAUGGGGUAAACUGUGCUUUCCAGGUAAUGCGGAACGCACGUGCCUGCGUUCAGACUCCGUUUAUCUUCACCGUCCUUCAAAAUGGAUGAGCUAAACCCAGGCACACGCGUGGACGGGCUGCACAUGGGGUAAACUGUGCUUUCCAGGUAAUGCGGAACGCACGUGCCUGCAUUCAGACUCCGUUUAUCUUCACCGUCCUUCAAAAUGGAUGAGCUAAACCCAGGCACACGCGUGGACGGGCUGCACAUGGGGUAAACUGUGCUUUCCAGGUAAUGCGGAACGCACGUGCCUGCAUUCAGACUCCAUUUAUCUUCACCGUCCUUCAAAAUGGAUGAGCUAAACCCACGCACACGCGUGGACGGGCUGCACAUGGGGAUGCCUGUGGCGGCCCACCAUUCACACGUGUGCCCUCACCUGUAGACGCAUUUAAUUUACAUUGGGUGUCCUGCCGUGUAAACUUCUGUGGAGACCUACUUAAUUCACACCAAGUGUCCUGAUGUGUAGACCCCUGCGAUAGACCUACUUAAUUCACACCGGUGUCCUGACGUGUAGACCCCUGUGGAGACCUACUUAAUUCACACCGGGUGUCCUGAUGCGUAGACCCCUGUGGAGACCUACUUAAUCCACACCGGGUGUCCUGAUGCGUAGACCCCUGUGGAUACCUACUUAAUUCACACCGGGUGUCCUGAUGCGUAGACCCCUGUGGAGACCUACUUAAUUCACACCGGUGUCCUGACGUGUAGACCCCUGUGGAGACCUACUUAAUUCACACCGGGUGUCCUGAUGCGUAGACCCCUGUGGAGACCUACUUAAUUCACACCAAGUGUCCUGAUGUGUAGACCCCUGUGGAUACCUACUUAAUUCACACCGGGUGUCCUGAUGCGUAGACUCCUGUGGAUACCUACUUAAUUCACACCGGGUGUCCUGAUGUGUAGACCCCUGUGGAGACCUACUUAAUUGACACCGGGUGUCCUGAUGCGUAGACUCCUGUGGAGACCUACUUAAUCCACACCAGUGUCCUAAUGUGUAGACCCCUGUGGAGACCUACUUAAUUCACACCGGGUGUCCUGAUGUGUAGACCCCUGUGGAUACCUACUUAAUUCACACCGGGUGUCCUGAUGCGUAGACUCCUGUGGAUACCUACUUAAUUCACACCGGGUGUCCUGAUGUGUAGACCCCUGUGGAGACCUACUUAAUUGACACCGGGUGUCCUGAUGCGUAGACCCCUGUGGAGACCUACUUAAUUCACACCAAGUGUCCUGAUGUGUAGACCCCUGUGGAUACCUACUUAAUUCACACCGGGUGUCCUGAUGCGUAGACUCCUGUGGAGACCUACUUAAUCCACACCGGGUGUCCUGAUGUGUAGACCCCUGUGGAGACCUACUUAAUUCACACCGGUGUCCUGACGUGUAAACCCCUGUGGAGACCUACUUAAUUCACACCGGUGUCCUAAUUCACACCGGUGUCCUGAUGUAUAGACCCUUGUGGAGACCUACUUAAUUCACACCAGUGUCCUCAUGUGUAGACCCUUGCGGAGACCUACUUAAUUCACACUGGGUGUCCUGAUGCGUAGACUCCUGUGGAGACCUACUUAAUUCACACCGGAUGUCCUGAUGUGUAGACCCCUGUGGAGACCUACUUAAUUCACACCAAGUGUCCUGAUGUGUAGACCCCUGUGGAUACCUACUUAAUUCACACCGGGUGUCCUGAUGUGUAGACCCCUGUGUAGACCUACUUAAUCCACACCGGGUGUCCUGAUGUGUAGACCCCUGUGGAGACCUACUUAAUUCACACCAAGUGUCCUGAUGUGUAGACUCCUGUGGAGACCUACUUAAUUCACACUGGGUGUCCUGACGUGUAGACUCCUGUGGAGACCUACUUAAUUCACACCGGGUAUUCUGACAUGUAGACCCCUGUGGAGACCUACUUAAUUCACACUGGUGUCCUGACGUGUAGACCCCUGUGGAGACCUACUUAAUUCACACCGGUGUCCUAAUUCACACCGGUGUCCUGAUGUAUAGACCCUUGCGGAGACCUACUUAAUUCACACCGGUGUCCUCAUGUGUAGACCCUUGCGGAGACCUACUUAAUUCACACCGGGUGUCCUGAUGCGUAGACUCCUGUGGAUACCUACUUAAUUCACACCGGUGUCCUGAUGCGUAGACUCCUGUGGAGACCUACUUAAUUCACACCUGUGUCCUGAUGUGUAGACCCCUGCGGAGACCUACUUAAUUCACACCGGGUAUUCUGACAUGUAGACUCCUGUGGAGACCUAUUUAAUUCACACCGGGUGUCCUGAUGUGUAGACCCCUGUGGAGACCUACUUAAUUCGCACCUGGCAUCCUGACGUGUAGACUCCUAUGUAGACCUAUUUAAUUCACACCGGGUGUCCUGGCGUGUAAACCCCUGUGUAGAUCUACUUAAUUCACACCCAGCAUCCUGACCUGUAGACCCCUGUGGCGACCUACUUAAUUCACACCCGGCAUCCUGACGUGUAGACUCCUAUGUAGACCUAUUUAAUUCACACCAGGAGUCCUGAUAUGUAGAUCCCUGUGGAGACCUACUUAAUUCACACCUGGCAUCUUGACGUGUAGACUCCUAUGUAGACAUACUUAAUUCACAUUGAGCAUCCUGACAUGUAGACCCCUGUGUAGACCUACUUCAUUUACACCAGGUGUCCUGAUGUGUAGACCCCUGUGUAGACCUACUUAAUUCACACCGGGUGUCCUGAUGUAUAGACCCUUGUGGUAGACCUACUUAAUUCACACCGAGUGUCCUGAUGUGUAGACUCCUGUGGAGACCUACUUAAUUCACACCAGGUGUCCUGAUGUGUAGACCCCUGUGGAUACCUACUUAAUCCACACCGGGUGUCCUGAUGCGUAGACUCCUGUGGAGACCUCCUUAAUCCACACCAGGUGUCCUGAUGUGUAGACCUCUGUGGAGACCUACUUAAUUCACACCGAGUGUCCUGACGUGUAGACCCCUGUGGAGACCUACUUAAUUCACACCGGUGUUCUGACAUGUAGACCCCUGUGGAGACCUACUUAAUUCACACCGGUAUCCUGACAUAUAGACCCUUGCGGAGACCUACUUAAUUCACACCAGUGUCCUGAUGUGUAGACCCUUGCGGAGACCUACUUAAUUCACACCGGGUGUCCUGAUGCGUAGACUCCUGUGGAUACCUACUUAAUUCACACCGGUGUCCUGACGCGUAGACCCCUGUGGAGACCUACUUAAUUCACACCGGGUAUUCUGACAUGUAGACCCCUGUGGAGACCUACUUAAUUCACACCGGGUAUUCUGACGUGUAGACCCCUGUGGAGACCUACUUAAUUCACACCGGGUGUCCUGAUGUGUAGACCCCUGUGGAGACCUACUUAAUUCACACCGGGUGUCCUGAUGUGUAGACUCCUGUGGAGACCUACUUAAUUCACACCGAGUGUCCUGACGUGUAGUAGACCCCUGUGGAGACCUACUUAAUUCACACCGGUGUCCUGAUGUGUAGACCCCUGUGGAGACCUACUUAAUUCACACCUGGCAUCCUGACGUGUGGACUCCUAUGUAUACCUAUUUAAUUCACACCGGGUGUCCUGGCGUGUAAACCCCUGUGUAGAUCUACUUAAUUCACACCCAGCAUCCUGACCUGUAGACCCCUGUGGCGACCUACUUAAUUCACACCCGGCAUCCUGACGUGUAGACUCCUAUGUAGACCUAUUUAAUUCACACCAGGAGUCCUGAUAUGUAGAUCCCUGUGGAGACCUACUUAAUUCACACCCGGCAUCCUGAUGUGUAGACUCCUAUGUAGACCUAUUUAAUUCACACCAGGAGUCCUGAUAUGUAGAUCCCUGUGGAGACCUACUUAAUUCACACCCGGCAUCUUGACAUGUAGACUCCUAUGUAGACAUACUUAAUUCACAUUGAGCAUCCUGACGUGUAGACCCCUGUGUAGACCUACUUAAUUCACACCGGGUGUCCUGCCAUGUAGACUUCUGUGUAGACCUACUUAAUUCACACCGGGUGUCCUGAUGUGUAGACCCCUGUGGAGACCUGCUUAAUUCACACCGGGUAUUCUGACAUGUAGACUCCUGUGGAGACCUACUUAAUUCACACCGGGUGUCCUGAUGUGUAGACCCCUGUGGAGACCUGCUUAAUUCACACCGGGUAUUCUGACAUGUAGACUCCUGUGGAGACCUACUUAAUUCACACCGGGUGUCCUGAUGUGUAGACCCCUGCGAUAGACCUCCUUAAUCCACACCGGGUGUCCUGAUGUGUAGACCCCUGCGAUAGACCUCCUUAAUCCACACCGGGUGUCCUGAUGUGUAGACUCCUGUGGAGACUUACUUAAUUCACACUCAAGCAUCCUGGCAUGUAGACCCCUGUGGUUCUUAAUUAUUUAUGUGCUCUUGAAGAGUUGCACAUUUUUAAAGAAUAUUUUACAACAGAAAAGGUCACCUUUUCAAAGCCUUUUUUAUGGGAUUAAUUUGUAACUACAGGAUUGCAAAAAAUUUUAAUAGCUUUAACCUCUAGAAACAGGAUAUGUAAAUGCUGAAAAACAAAGUCCCAACCAGAUAAGUCCUGUGGGUGGUUUCCCAGUCAUGAUUCAUGGAAGGAGAAAUGUACUGAUGAGAAAUCACAUCCAAAAUAUUGUCUCUGCAGUGGUAAUACUUACAAAGUCGACGCAGUCUCAGGCGGAGCUCACUGAAGAUGGUUUCCAAGCUUAUAUGUACUUCACCCAUCCCCCACCCUCCAGCCCAAAACAAAUCCCAAACAUACUGCUUAGAACUCAGCCUGCGCAGCCCAGAGGUACAGAGAGGCAGGAAGCACCCAGGUGUCCACAUACGGUGCCAUUGUGGACUUGUAGGGCAGGAUUCCAGGAUAUGGGUGAUGGGCGUGUGGAACCGCGGCGCCCCCUGCACAGUGUGGCUCAUUUGAGCCGGAUGGGGGCCGUGAAGGCAUCACCCAGCCUGCCCCCUGGGAGCUGGCUUCUCCCUUCCUGGGGCGGAGCUCGCCCGACAGCCCCACAUGCCUGGUUCUCCCUGCAGAUGAGGGUGCUGUGUGGGGUCACAGGGAAGAAACCAGCAGCAGCGGCAGAGCUUGAUCCAGGCAUUGGAGGAGGGUCCUGGUACCCCUGGCAGGGGCUGGCGGGAAGCUGCACUUCUGUCAUUGCCCAUGGCGGCUUUGGAGGAGAUGACAGAGCAUGGCGAAUUCUGCCUCCCACUCCUGACCCCUCUGCUGUGUCAUUCAAGUUUUGUCCUUUUCCUACUGUCCGUUUCGAACGUCACUGCAGGCAGUGGCCUCGGUGGCUUCGCUCCGCCUGGCCCUGCUCCCUGGCUCUGUGCUACCCUCUCUCCCCCUCGGCUGGGCCCUUCCUCUCCGCUGCUCCCUGUGGAACUGGAGCCCCUCAAGGUCUCUUCAGUUUCUGAUCCGGGGAGCCCUGCAGGUUGUCAGGAUGGGUUUUGUGGGCUUAUUGCUGCUUUCCAGGACCUUUGAGAAGCCGUAAGUCUCCUUCCUACCAGGAAGCCCUCACUCAGGAACGCACAGACCGGGGUCAACAGGCUCUCAGGAGCGCCGUCUGCGUGCAGGUGGAGGGUGUGGCGGGGCCAGGAGAGCACUUGGCCGCCUUUCAUCUCAACCUCUGAGGACAGAAGGGGGCUCUCAAAUCCGCCCAUGCAUUGAGAUCUUCGCUCUUCACAGAGGUGGGAUUAGUAGCUUAGUCUCAGUUUCAAGUGGAUGAGGUUGUGUAAUUUCAAGGGAAAAUUACAUCCGGCAAUACCUCUUUUGCUAAUGGAACUCAGGAAGGAAAGGCCCUCAGAAAGGCUGGAGUCUGGAAUCUAGGCAGGUAGCUGGCCUGACAGUAACCUUGAUCCAGGUAAACCAAAGUGGAAUUCUCGAGCCUGGAAUUGAUGACUCAUAAUUGUUUUCAUUUAACAGCUCAGGAUGUGUGAAAAAAAAAUGCUGUUUAAUUUGUAAGACCUAAGUUUACGACUGAUUUUGGAGAAUACAUUUGUGAUAAUGUAUCUAUGUUUUCCUGGGGUGGCGGAGGAAAUGAUUUCUACCUAAAAAAAAGAAAUGCUAGUAGUUAAGACUUUUUAAGUGCCACAGAAGCUUGUUCUCAGCAAGUUUGCUUUUAUGAAAUCAAAGGAUGAAAGCCUUUGUCAUGGAAGAAGUCGUAAUAGAGGAUGAAAAUGCUGUCGGGUUAUUUUUAACUUCUCAUCUGUUUGACGGAAGUGCAGUUACUGGUGAUAGGUGAUGAUAGAGUUUGUUUCCUUCUUGGGGGAGAGACUUUGGGCAGUGUCAAAACCUGAAAUGACAGCCCAGCACGCCCCGUUCCCUGCUUCCUGUGCUGUGCAGAGCUCCCCCAGGCCUGCUUGCACCCCCCACGUGGGGAAUCCUGAACUCCACAAAGGGAUGGAUCACUGCAUGCCUCCUUUUCCAGAUUUGUACUUUGGGGCACAGAAUUCACAUGGUUCCCAGCUUUGCCCACAGGAGGCUACAGAAUUAAAUGUUGGCUUAGACUAUACUGUCCCUCCAUGCCUUCAAGAAAGUUGAAUCCUUCUGGUAAUUGGGGAGAAAAAAUUCCCUCUGCAAUUCGUAGGUAUAGCCAGUGUUUUCAUGACUUCUAUUUGUAUAAAUGAUUUCCAUGUUUAUUAUAUCAUGUAAUCUCUAAAACAACCCUGUGAGCCCACCAAUACUGAUUAUUACCAAUGUAUCCAUGAGGAAGCUGAGGCUUAGAGCUCAGUCAUGUGCCUGAGGCCACAGAAGAGGAUAGAGCCCCUGUAGUCUGGCACUGGGCUUGGACUUCCUUCCGCAGAGCCAGGGGCCCUUUCUUUUCAUUUUUGAGACAGAGUCUCUCUCUGUGCCCAGGCUGGAGUGCAAUGGUGCGAUCCUGGCUCACUGCAACCUCCACCGCCCGGGUUUAAGUGAUUCUCCUGCCUCAGCCUCCCAAGUAGCUGGAACUACAGGUGCCCACCACCACACCUAGUUAAUUUUUAUGUUUUUAGCAAAGAUGGGGUUUUGCCAUUGUUGGCCAGGCUGGUCUUGUACUCCUGACCUCAGGUGAUUCACCCGCCUCGGCCUCCCAAAGUGCUGGGUUUACAGACGUGAGUCGCCGCGCCCAUCCAGGGGCACGUUUCUUAACAGCCCCUCUGGGUGCUCACGAAUUUCCGGCAUCAGCAAUCCACCAUCCUGGCAUAAUUUUCUGUGUUUUGCAUCCCUGCCUCCCGGUCAUAAACAAAAGAGUGACCUCAGUUCCAUGCGAGUGGCUGCUUGUCCCAAGCAGAUGGGUGUCCGGCGUCCCCGCCUUUUUCAGGACUGUCAGGUGGGCCCUGUGGUGCUGGAGCUGUGUUCAGGUGAACACUAGUUGAGGCUUCAGACAGCUUGUAGGUGCUCCUGCGGGCGCCUGGGCUGCUGGCAGGGGACAGUGCCCGGGUUCGUCUCGCAGCCAGAGGCCAGAGGCAGGCCAGGUGAGGCCAUGCUCUUCCCUGUCUGCACACCACACUGCUGGCAAGUAACACAAAACAGAGACUGGCUACCCCAAGGGGCAGGAGGCAGCGGAAACCUGAGGCUCAGACACUAGUGAGGCGUUCCAGCUCAGGGCCAAAAUCAGAGCCAGGGCAGCUGUGGACUCUGGCUAUGGCGUCUGUCGUACAAGUGAGAAACGAAAAGAAUGACUGUCCCGUGUCAUUCAGCAAAACACAUGGUGUCUUUGGAGGUGAAGAGAGGUGCCAAGCACCACUCGGUUUUCCCAGAUUUCCUGUAGGAGGAAAACCACUUGGUUCUAUGCUGUGGCUUUCACGCCAGGAGCUCCUAGGAUUGAGGACGUCUACUGAUUGUAUCACAGUCGAAGGGCCCAGUGUUACAUUACAUUGUGUCCCCAGGCAAAUACUUACAUUUUUACAAUUCAACAACGAUGAGCGAAGGAUAACUGUCCACCAUUGUCAGCCUUCCCACUCUAACGUGUGGAAUAAAAUGCUCAUUUCAGUUGAUUGUAUCCCGAUGGUACUGCUGUGUCAGUGCAGUCACGACCCUUUAAAUGAGUUCCCUGGGAUUUCACUUUUCUUGUUAGACAUCACCAGGAAUUAAUAACCCUCCUUUUGACAAUAGUAGUGGUCAGCAGUAAUAACUUACUCUGUGAAACAUAGAGAUUACACAGCAUCAUGGGGCUUGGCUGCAGCCCUCAGUGCCUGAUUAGAAUAAAGCAAUUGAGGCCAGGCGCAGUGGCUCACACCUGUAAUCCCAGAACUUUGGGAGGCCGAAGCGGGCGGAUCACGAGGUCAGGAGUUCUAGACAAGCCUGGCCAACAUGGUGAAAUCCUGUCUCUACCAAAAAAUAAAAAAUUAACUGCGUGUGGUGGCGGGCGCCUGUAUUUCUAGCUACUCGGGAGGUUGAGGCAGGAAAAUCGCUUGAACCCGGGAGGCAGAGGUUGCAGUGAGCCGAGAUUGUGCCAACGCACUCCAGCCUGGGUGACAGACAGAGUAAGACCCUGUCUCAAGAAAAGAAAAGAAAAAAAGAAUAAAGCAAUCAUGCAGGUGGUUUCAAAUUCCAAAGCUGUACAGUAACAUUCAAAUAUGGCAAGGCCCUGCCAGGUGCGGUGGCUCACGCCUGUAAUUCCAGCACUUUGGGAGGCUGAGGCAGGUGGAUCACCUGAAGUCAGGAGUUCAAGAUCAGCCUGGGCAACAUGGUGAAAUCCCGUCUCUAUUAAAAAUACAAAAAUUAGCCGGGCAUCUUGGGGGGUUGCCUGUAAUCCCAGCUACUCGGGAGGCUGAGGCACGAGAAUCGCUUGAACCUGGGAGGCAGAGGUUGCAGUGAGCCGAGAUGGCGCCACUGCACUCCAGCCUGGGCGACAGAGUGAGACUUCAUCUCAAAAUAAAUAAAUAAAUAAGUUAUGGCAAGUCCAUGAGUUUGCACAGCCUUCCAGGCCUGAUGGAAGUAGAUCUGCAUGUUUGGAAGGAUUGCAGAUCAUAUUUUAUCUCAUAAAUAUUACCAGAACUUCCUCGUGUAACAUGGGAACUUUCAAAACCAUAGAGAGGAGCAUUGUAAAUCUCUGUGGCUCGUCUCCACUGUCACAGUUCCCAGCUUGUGGCCAGCCUGUUGCAUCUGCACCUUCACUGUAGUUCCAAGGGUCCUUUGGAAGGAAUCCUGGACAGCGUGUACUUUUCAUCUGAAAGUACUUCAGUAAAUGAAAGGUGGAAUUUUAAGUAGACUCUUUUUUCAUUAAUGUGACUUUGUUACUGAGUGAUGUAUUAUAGAAAUUUGUGGAAACGUAUAAUUGUAAUAAAUUUGUUGGCUUGGAUGCUGGAAAGUAA
Homo sapiens (human) is the source of this 10055-nucleotide long non-coding RNA. RefSeq lists it as uncharacterized. The record is from RefSeq and is a predicted model, not a curated record. NCBI's taxonomy places the organism in Eukaryota, Metazoa, Chordata, Mammalia, Primates, Hominidae. The transcript is spliced from 2 exons.